UAAUGCAGCGGAUCCGCAUGGAUAUGUUGUUAAAGGUUUACCGCCUUGGGAUAGGCUUGCGUCUGAUUAGCUAGUUGGUGUGGUAAUGGCACACCAAGGCUACGAUCAGUAACUGGUCUGAGAGGAUGAUCAGUCACACUGGAACUGAGACACGGUCCAGACUCCUACGGGAGGCAGCAGUGAGGAAUAUUGGGCAAUGCACGAAAGUGUGACCCAGCAACGCCGCGUGGAGGAUGAAGGUAUUCUAUAUCGUAAACUCCUGUGAGAGCAGACGAAAGACAGAUUAUUAAUUUGGAUGACUGUAUGCUCAGAGGAAGCCCCGGCUAACUACGUG
RNAcentral lists this ribosomal RNA (334 nucleotides) under uncultured bacterium. RNAcentral's name for it is "bacterial SSU rRNA". It matches the Rfam family "Bacterial small subunit ribosomal RNA", at positions 173 to 507 of the family's 1533-position model. The record is from RNAcentral.